UCACCGCCUUCAUUAGACGACACCGUCUGGGGGUUUAUACACGAAAACGCACCGUUUUAGUUCUUCUCUUCCACUUCAAAGGUCAUAAAUAAUCUGUACAAGCAAAAUGGAACCUUGUCAAAUCCUCUCUCUCUUCCUCUCUGUUUUGGGCAGAAAUAUUCAAUUUCGUUCAUCAACAAACCAAUGUCUUUUGCGAGAAUCGGCAACUCUUUACCGUUUUCCAGAGUCUUCAGGCAGCUGGAGCAGGAGAUGAAAACUGUGAUCAAUGUACUACAACCUGGCCCUUUGGGAAUUAUAGAACACAAGUUCUCUGCCGAAGAGACACGUGAGGCAAAUGCUACUGUUAAAAGAGCAUUAGAAAAUUGGCAAAGGAAUGCAAACAUGGAGCAGAGUAGCCCCAUCUUGAAAGAUCAAAUCGAUAAAUGAGAGAAUACUGUGGCUUCAGUAUUUUACGAUUGAAGUGAUCAAAGAAAAAUGAUUCUUGGACGGAAGUCAGGAUCAUUCACAAGUGCCACGAGCUUCAGUAUGACUAGUCUUUCUCAAAUUUUUAUUCUGCUUAAAGGGGAUUCUUGGGGUGGAUGUGGGCAUCUUCGUAUAUGUGGAUGACUGGAUGUGGUGUUGUUUUCUACUUUAAAUCAAUCACGUGCUUCAUUAUUCCCAUGACGUUUCUUCUUCUUCUUUUCAUAUAAAGUUUUUGUAACAUGUGUUGCUGCACGUGAACGCUGGCGACAUAUAAUCUCACGAAUCUUAUGAAUUGAAAGGAGAACUACCGAUUUAUAAUUACGAUUUUAAAUUGUUCAA
Molecule: RNA transcript, 801 nt
Organism: Cornus florida
Lineage: Eukaryota; Viridiplantae; Streptophyta; Magnoliopsida; Cornales; Cornaceae
Exons: 4
Source: RefSeq, a predicted model, not a curated record